GGAACCGCCUGUUCCCAUCCCGAACACAGCAGCUAAGCCCUCCAGCGCCGAUGGUACUGCAGGAUUACCUGCGGGAGAGUAGGACACUGCCGGGA
This 95-nucleotide ribosomal RNA is filed under the name Candidatus Stramentimicrobium fermentans. Lineage: Bacteria; Pseudomonadati; Atribacterota; Candidatus Phoenicimicrobiia; Candidatus Pheonicimicrobiales; Candidatus Stramentimicrobiaceae. The record is from RNAcentral.